RNAcentral lists this transfer RNA (76 nucleotides) under Vibrio parahaemolyticus EN9701072. RNAcentral describes it as "tRNA-Met". It matches the Rfam family "tRNA". From Rfam's summary of the family: Transfer RNA (tRNA) molecules are approximately 80 nucleotides in length. Their secondary structure includes four short double-helical elements and three loops (D, anti-codon, and T loops). Further hydrogen bonds mediate the characteristic L-shaped molecular structure. tRNAs have two regions of fundamental functional importance: the anti-codon, which is responsible for specific mRNA codon recognition, and the 3' end, to which the tRNAs corresponding amino acid is attached (by aminoacyl-tRNA synthetases). tRNAs cope with the degeneracy of the genetic code in two manners: having more than one tRNA (with a specific anti-codon) for a particular amino acid; and 'wobble' base-pairing, i.e. permitting non-standard base-pairing at the 3rd anti-codon position. The record is from RNAcentral. Lineage: Bacteria; Pseudomonadati; Pseudomonadota; Gammaproteobacteria; Vibrionales; Vibrionaceae.
GGCCCCUUAGCUCAGUGGUUAGAGCAGUCGACUCAUAAUCGAUUGGUCCGCAGUUCAAGUCUGGGAGGGGCCACCA